This is an unclassified non-coding RNA of Pongo abelii (Sumatran orangutan), 148 nucleotides long. It matches the Rfam family "Metazoan signal recognition particle RNA". From Rfam's summary of the family: The signal recognition particle (SRP) is a universally conserved ribonucleoprotein. It is involved in the co-translational targeting of proteins to membranes. NCBI's taxonomy places the organism in Eukaryota, Metazoa, Chordata, Mammalia, Primates, Hominidae. The record is from Ensembl.
GCCAGGCAUGGUGGUGCAUGCCUGUAACCCCAGCUACUCAGGAGGCUGAGGCAGGAGAAUCGCUUGAACCCGGGAGGCUGAGGUUGCAGUGAGCCGAGAUUGCACCACUGCACUCCAGCCUGGGCAACAGAGUGAGACUCUGCCUCAA